Molecule: long non-coding RNA, 1308 nt
Organism: Takifugu rubripes (torafugu)
Lineage: Eukaryota; Metazoa; Chordata; Actinopteri; Tetraodontiformes; Tetraodontidae
Source: Ensembl
AGCCUGGCCAGAACCUUCAAAGCUGACUUGGUUCUAACCAGAACCAGUAGAGAACCAGUAGGAGAACCUAUAGUAGAACCAGUAAGAGAACCUGUAGUAGAACCAGUGGGAGAACCUGUAGUAGAACCAGUAGGAGAACCUGUAGUAGAACCAGUAGGAGAACCUACAGUAGAACCAGUGGGAGAACCUGUAGUAGAACCAGUGGGAGAACCUGUAGUAGAACCUAUAGUAGAACCAGUGGGAGAACCUGUAGUAGAACCAGUAGUAGAACCAGUGGGAGAACCUGUAGUAGAACCUAUAGUAGAACCAGUGGGAGAACCUGUAGUAGAACCAGUAGGAGAACCUAUAGUAGAACCAGUGGGAGAACCUGUAGUAGAACCAGUAGGAGAACCUAUAGUAGAACCAGUGGGAGAACCUGUAGUAGAACCAGUAGUAGAACCAGUGGGAGAACCUGUAGUAGAACCAGUAGGAGAACCUGUAGUAGAACCUAUAGUAGAACCAGUGGGAGAACCUGUAGUAGAACCAGUAGGAGAACCUACAGUAGAACCAGUGGGAGAACCUGUAGUAGAACCAGUGGGAGAACCUGUAGUAGAACCUAUAGUAGAACCAGUGGGAGAACCUGUAGUAGAACCAGUAGUAGAACCAGUAGGAGAACCUACAGUAGAACCAGUGGGAGAACCUGUAGUAGAACCAGUAGUAGAACCAGUGGGAGAACCUGUAGUAGAACCAGUAGGAGAACCUGUAGUAGAACCUAUAGGAGAACCAGUGGGAGAACCUGUAGUAGAACCAGUAGGAGAACCUAUAGUAGAACCAGUGGGAGAACCUGUAGUACAACCAGUAGGAGAACCUAUAGUAGAACCAGUGGGAGAACCUGUAGUAGAACCAGUAGGAGAACCUAUAGUAGAACCAGUGGGAGAACCUGUAGUAGAACCAGUAGUAGAACCAGUAGGAGAACCUAUAGUAGAACCAGUAGUAGAACCUAUAGUAGAACCAGUGGGAGAACCAGCAGGAGAACCCGUAAGAGAACCUGUAGUAGAACCAGUGGGAGAACCUGUAGUAGAACCAGCAGGAGAACCCGUGGCUACGUGGGUUCUGGCUCGCUGUCCUCAGCAGGACCGGCUGCGUGAGCAGACACACCUGAGGUGUCUUUGGACCUGGAUGGAACCCAAAGAGAAAAGCCCCUGGAGCCGAGGAGCAGAACCCAGAACCUUCAGCAGCGUCUCGGCCGACGCCUCUGCAGGUUCUCUAGUAGAACGUCUGAGCUGGACGGGCUCGAAAAGCCCCGUCACACCUGGUUUGUAUCGGUGA